RNAcentral lists this long non-coding RNA (1543 nucleotides) under Vitis vinifera (wine grape). RNAcentral's name for it is "long non-coding RNA (VVIN_LNC007596)". Lineage: Eukaryota; Viridiplantae; Streptophyta; Magnoliopsida; Vitales; Vitaceae. The record is from RNAcentral.
CUAUGUUCUAUCUACGUUCAUUCUUAGUUCAUCUAAAGCAUAUUCGUUUGUUCCUUCAAUUGCUCAUCAUUGGAACGCCAUUAUGUUUUCUAUAUAUUUUCAUUCUAUCUAGGCUUAUUCGUUUGUUCCCUCCCUUUCUCAUCAUUGGGACGUCAUCCGAGGUUCUAUGUAUGUUCAAUUUUAGUUCCUUUGGUCUCCGAUAGUUGGGAUGCCAUCCUAGGUUCUACCUAAGAUUAGUUAGUUGUUUCUAUGGUUUCUCGUUGUUGUGACUCCAUCCUAGUUUCUAUCUAUGUUUGUUCUUAGUUCCUUUGGUUUCCAAACAUUUUGAUGUUAUCCAAGGUUUUUGUCUAUGUUCAAUGUUAUUUCCUUUGGUUUUCAUUCAUUGGGAAGUCAUCCUAGAUUCUAUCUAAGCUUAUUCGUUUCUCAUCUUUAGGACACUGCCUUAUGUUCUAUCUAUGUUAAUUCUUAGUUCCAUUGGUUUCCCAUCAUUGGGAUGCUGUCGUUGGUUCUAUCUAAGCUUAUUCGAUUGCUCAUCAUUUGUUCUUUUGACUCAUCAUCAUUGGGACACCAUUCUUGGAUCUAUAUAUCGUCGUCCUUAGGUUCUUUAGUUUUCCAUGAUUGUUAUGUCAACCUAGUUUCUAUCUAAAGCUUUUUUUCCUUUUGUUUUUCAUCACUAGGACGCCAUCCUAGGUUUAUCUAUGUUUUGUUCAUUUGGUUUCGAAUCAUUGGAAUGUCAUCCUAUGUUAUACCUAGAAUUAGUCGAUUGUUUCUUUUGUUUCUUAUCGUUGUGACGCCAUCGUAGUUUCUAUCUAUGUUCGUUCUUAGUUCCUAGUAUCCAAACAUUGGGAUUCCAUCCUACGUUAUGUAUAGGUUCAUUGUUAGUUCCUUCGAUUUUCAAUCAUUGGGAAGUCAUCCUAAGCUCUAUCUAUGGUUGUUCAUUUGUUCCAUUGGUUUCUCAUCAUUGGGACCCCAUCCUAGGUUCUAUCUAUUGCUCAUUGUAAGUUCCUUCAGUUUCCAAUCAUUGGGAAGCAAUCCUAGGUUUUAUCCACACUUAUUCGUUUAUUCCUUUUGUUUCUAAUCAUUUCACGCCAUCCUAGGCUUUAUCUAUGUUCAUUCUUGCCUCCUAAGGUUUCCCAUUAUUACGAUGCCAUCCUACAUUCCAUCUGAAGCUUAUUUCUUUGUUCUUUUUUUUUCCGCAUCAUUGAGUCUCCAUCCUAUGUUCAUUCUUAGUUCAUUUAAAACAUAUUCAUUUGUUCCUUUGAUUGCUCAUCAUUAGAGCGCCAUUCUUGGUUCUAUCUACUUUCAUUCUUAGUUCCUUUAGUUUCCCAUGUUGGAGAUGUCAUCCUAGUUUUAAUCAAAACUUAUUUGUUUGUUCCUUUCCUUUCCCAUCACUAUGACAUCAUCAUCACUGUUACUCUCACCGUUACCGUGACUCACCGUUACUGUCACUGUUACAUUUACCGUUGCUAUUAUCAUAACCGUAAUUAUCACCAUUAUCGUCAAUGUUACCAUCACCGUUAUCGUGACCCUAACUGUAAUCGUC